RNAcentral lists this unclassified non-coding RNA (3273 nucleotides) under Stegodyphus dumicola. RNAcentral describes it as "uncharacterized LOC118197875, transcript variant X4". Lineage: Eukaryota; Metazoa; Arthropoda; Arachnida; Araneae; Eresidae. The record is from RNAcentral.
GACAUUGCCAAGCUGAUUAAUCUCCAAUUAGAUCGAGAACUGAUCCUGCUCAUCCUUUCAUUCGUCUCGAAUAGAACCUACAGGAUUUUCGUCAGAGAUACUUUAUUUUCUUCCAGAAAAAUCCUAAACGGAGUGCCCUAGGGUUCGGUAUUUGGCUCUGUACUCUAUCUGUAUUAUGUAGCAGCCUGCCCUAGGGUGCAAUUUAACAACAAUGCAAUCCUAGCCUGUUAUGCGGAUGAUACCGCCUUGGCAGUAAAAUCAGCCAGCAUCAGCCCCGCCAUUAAAAUGCUGCAAGCCAUCAUUCCGAGUAUAGAACAGUGGUGUAGCUACUGGAAAAUACGUAGUAACCCCCAAAAGUCACAGCUCCUGCUAUCUAGAAGGAAAAAACCGAAUUUAAAGCCAAAGAAAAAUCUCUUCCUUUUCAACGAGCUGAUACCCAUUGCUCCAAAGGCUAAUUAUCUAAAAAUCAUCACUAAUGACAAACUCACGCGGUCACAACACUUUGAUCACGUGAGGAGCAAAGCAAUCAGAGUCAUAAAGUGCCUACUUCCCAUCACAGGGAAAUUCUCAAAGCUUGAUUUUUCAAAAAUCAUCUACACUUCAAGAAUUAGACCCUUGAUGACAUAUACUUCGCCAGCUUGGGCUGCUGCUAUUCCUUCGGAUAUGUGCAAGCUUCAGGUUGUGCAAAACAUAUUUUUAAGGAUCAGCACUAAUGCACACUAUUUUGUUCGAAAUAAACUUCUACAUGUUGACUUUAAACUGGAUAACUUUCUCAGGAAAGCUAACAAAAAAUUCAUCAAGAAUGCUCAAUUUUGUGACCAAAUGGACUUUUUUCGAACUUUUCACUAGGAAAUGCUCAACGAAGAUAGAUAUCUUCGCCCUCAUGCAGCCUUCAUCCUCAGUGAAAGCCAGGACUCACUUAUGAAAAGUUUUUGUACAGUUAUGACACUACUUUAUUCAGAUAUAUUUUAUUUUCAUAGUUUAACCUACCCAACCGCUUCAUAUGGAGAAUGAAGUUAGUUUUACUUUCAGACUAAAAGGAAAUAAAUUUUAUGAAUCUUAACUAGAUAAAUUUUAUGAGUGAAUUUGUAAUUUUACUUUCACGCCUGUUCAAUUUUGUGGUCUGUGUUGUCCAGUUGUCUAAUUAACAUCUGUGUGCACCAGUUGUCUAAUUAACGGAAUUUGUGAAAUUAUUAGCAGUGUGAUGCGCAUAUAACACCCACGCUAGUCCAACAAUGAAUAUGUCUACCAUUCAUAUUAGUCAUACUAGUUGUUCCCUUUGUCACGUGCUUCUUGAUCAGCGGCAUCCAAAUCUCCGCCUUGUCAGUUAUUUGAUGUGAACAUAUUGACGCAUCACUGCGUAUAAGCGUCUAUCUCUAACAACUUCCUUAAUUACACGAAAAUACUUCUAGCUGUUCAUUGUUAAUAAAAAUCGUAAACUAUAUCGUGGAAAUCAGAGAAAAUCAUUGUAAAUAAGUGAAGAAUAAAUUAUAUCGGCAAAGGCGAACGAUGAGUGUAGUGUUCAACGAAAACAACAUAAGAAUAACAGUUAACGUAUCCUUUGGGUUACCAGGUUUGAGCUGUUAUCGCUUUUUUUGGCGGUGUUUACAUUUUCGGAGUUCUUUGCGGGAGUGCUUUCCAGCGGGAAUGUUUUAACAUGAAUGAAUUGUUUUUAGAAGUUUCUUUUCUGUAAAUUUUGAUACUUGUCUUCAUCUGAGGCUGUGAGUAAGAUGUUUUCUAAUCGCUGGCGAUGGCCAAAAAAGCUUUUUCUCCUUUUCUCCUUUUUUCUUAUAGCAUUUUUUGGAACAAGGAUACUAUCAAAUAAAUUUCAUACCCUUUUAUCAUUUAUUUAUUAUUUAACAUUUCCGUCACAGUUACCUGUAACCACUUUUGUGAAAAAAGAACAUUUAGUAUCUGGAACUGCUACGCCAUGGGCUCCUAUAUUCAGUCAUUUAUAUUCGUGCCCUGUUUGUUUUGGAUAUGGAAUGUGUAAUGAAGUUAUGAAAGAUUCUGUUUUGUUUCAUGGUGAAUUGAGUAUGGCUCAUAAUACAAAAAUAAUGUGGAAAAAAGGAGUUCUGCGUACACAGAGAAUCUUAAUUAGUUCCCUUGUUACUGAGGAAUGGAACAAAUUUGAUGAAUUUAUAUGUAGGAAUGCUAGCCAAACUAUACCCUGUGAUUUGUCUGCUGCUAUUUGGAAAACUGUGUUUGCCAAUUCAAAUUUAUUAUCUACAGAAAACUUUAGGAAUUUAAAUGCUCUGCUUGACAUUCCUCUCUCUCAGCUUGCCCUACCAGUUUGCUCAAGUACUAAAUUAUUAAGUGAGCUUACAAAGAGCUUUGAUGAAAAUUUUGAUGGUCAUUUUAGUGGAGAAGAAAAAAUUUUGCUCCUUACUAGUCUUGUAAUGCAGCCAGGCUAUGUCAUUCUGAAGUUACAGGCAAAAACUAAGAUGACUAUGCCUAUACCAAAUUUACUUGGGGCAUGUGGACGUUCUGUUAUACUUGAAGGAGGCUUGAAACCUUUGAAAUCUUUUCUUUCGGAAUCAUUUGAUGCACGAGCAGGCUUGGCAAUUCAAGUCCUGCAGCUUGUUGAAGAUUUUGAGGAAGAAGAUCCCCAGUGGUACUUCAUUUAUUUAGGGUUUUCACUUGAUGGCAUAUUUGUUACUAAAGAGGGAGAAGUAGUAGUUAUGGAUUUGGAUAAUAUAGUUAUAUUGGACAAGUCCUCAUUUACUACAGAUUCAUUCAAGCUUUCAUCACAUACGGGCUUAUGUAAUGAAGUGUGUUUCCAAAAGAUUACUUUAGAGUUACUUUAUUAUCCAAAUAAUUCUUCAUGCAAUUUUAUAUCUGAAUACGGAUUAUUAAUGUAUGCUGUUGUUUGUAAGCAAGUCUUAUCAAACAUAGCUGAACAUAGAGCUGAAGGAUUUUUUAAUUUUGAUGGCUAUCGCAUUCAUAGGAAGCAAGAAAAUCCAGCAUACCAUGCCAAUGCCUUGUUUUAAAUAAAAGUGCACCGGACAAAGGUGCACAUGAUUAAAGCCCAGAUAUGCAUAUUAAAAAAACAUUGUCAAGAUUGCCCACAUAACAAAUAUCCACAUGGAUGGAAUUAAAGCACCCAUUGAUGAAAGUCCACACUGGUGGAAGCCCACAUGUCUUUUACAUUCCAUUCCUCAUAAAAUAAAGGAACGUAUGGAAGAUUUAUUGAGGGAAUGUGUCCAGGAGACAAAACUGAAUGGCAGAAGGAAAGCUAUAACUGAAUUAAGAGAUAUGCUAGAAAAUUAUGUU